GAUGAAGAACGUAGCGAAAUGCGAUAAGUAGUGUGAAUUGCAGAAUUCAGUGAAUCAUCGAAUCUUUGAACGCACAUUGCGCCCCUUGGUAUCCCGAGGGGCAUGCCUGUUCGAGCGUCAUUUCACCACUCAAGCCUGGCUUGGUGUUGGGCGACGUCCUCUUUGGGGACGCGCCUCGAAACGCUCGGCGGCGUGGCACCGGCUUUAAGCGUAGCAGAAUCUUUCGCUUUGGAAGUCGGGGCCCCGUCUGCCGGAAGACCUGCUCGCAAGGUUGACCUCGGAUCAGGCAGGGAUACCCGCUGAACUUAAGCAUAUCAAAGCGGAGGA
RNAcentral lists this unclassified non-coding RNA (327 nucleotides) under soil metagenome. RNAcentral's name for it is "partial contains 5.8S ribosomal RNA, internal transcribed spacer 2, and large subunit ribosomal RNA". The stretch from base 1 to 120 matches the Rfam family "5.8S ribosomal RNA", at positions 35 to 154 of the family's 154-position model. The record is from RNAcentral.